Molecule: long non-coding RNA, 363 nt
Filed under: Erythranthe guttata (spotted monkey flower)
Lineage: Eukaryota; Viridiplantae; Streptophyta; Magnoliopsida; Lamiales; Phrymaceae
Description: long non-coding RNA (EGUT_LNC000787)
Source: RNAcentral
CAUAAACAUGGUACUGAACUCGAUUCGAAGUGGCGAUGGGUUGCAGCGAGCGGCGGAGUGUCGGUGGGAGUCAGUGAGCGGCGUAGCGUCGGUGGGAGUCAGUGAGCGUCGGAGCGUCAGUGGGAGUCAGUGAGCGGCGGUGGUACUGAACUCGAUUCAAAGUGGCGAUGGGUUGCAGCGAGAGGCGGAGUGUCGAUGGGAGUCAGUGAGCGGCGGAGCGUCGGUGGGAGUCAGUGAGCGUCGGAGCGUCAGUGGGAGCCAGUGAGCGGCGGUGGGCGGCGGAGGGUUUGGAUAUAGAGAGAUGGAAGAGAAUGAGAUUUGAGAGAAAAGAGAAACACGAUGUUUGGCUUGAUUGUGGGUGGG